Astatotilapia calliptera (eastern happy) is the source of this 4626-nucleotide long non-coding RNA. The record is from Ensembl. Lineage: Eukaryota; Metazoa; Chordata; Actinopteri; Cichliformes; Cichlidae.
UAAAAUGACACUCCCACAUGUUUAUGUACCAGAGCAUCAUUUGCCCUUUGGGGUGUCAUUUGAAGACUGACACGGAAUACAGACUGAGAGAGCAGCUCAUGAAAAAAAACACACCCGAUGUCACGCUGACUAGUGUUUGAUCUAGUCAGGUUUAAUUCUGUCCUUCCUAGGGGAAAAAAAACCCAUUGUCGUUUUGAAAUUUAGCACAGUUUUAAGGUGCAUCAAGUUAGCUUUAGAUGACGAGAAGUGGAUGAAAUGCCUCCUGGGCCAUGGGCGUCUCUCUGUUGGAUUUUACUCUCUGUCUGCCUCCUGUUUGCCUCUACAGAGAUUGAGGCUACGUCCACACGUACCCGGGUAUUUUUGAAAACGCAGAUAUUUCUAUGCGUUUGCACCUUUCCUCCUCUGUGAGAUGUUCUCAAUCAUUGCCAGGUCUUUAUCACUUGAGUUCUGUCUUGCUGGGGUCGCAGACUUCUGCAAAAAGUCUCAUCGAGCUCUGGGUUGGUUUAGGUGGAUUUGGAGGUAUACUGCAACUGAUGCUGUAGAUGCAGUGGCAGCAACAGUUGCAGUAGACACACUGGCACCUUCAUUAAUAUCACACUCAACUGACUGUUUUAUAUUCCUAUUGCACUGAUGGGUGGACAGUUCUCAGGUGCCUGUGCAGGUUGUUUGUGGAGCCGGCUCUGUAUGAUAUCUUUUUCUUACAGACUUUACACUCUGUCUUUGUUUUCAGUAAAAUUGAAAUUGCUCCAGAUUUUGCUUCUUUUCUUGGUGUCACUCAUUUUUAUUACCAUGCCUUUCUAAUGUGUUGAUGUUGUGUCUUGUUGCCCCUGGCUCUCUUUCUCUCUUUCACACUCUGUUCCUAUGCUACUGCGAGUGUAACCACCACCCCUCCCCCCUCUGCUCAGCGCAAACACAAGGCUCAAGUGCGGUGUGAAGUGAAAAUAGUGAGACAGAGCGGGUGAGAGAAAGGGGAAAAGAAACACAGCUCGUUAUUCGUUACUUCGUGUGGUGGCUAUUGCGGAGCUUCCACAGAUUCAGUAACAUUAGCAAGUGGUGGAGGCCAGCAGGUGGAUGAGGGAAAUGGUGAGGCGGCCUGAGGCGGCCGCUGUCCAAGUGUCAGGUGAACUGAAUUCCAGGUAAGAAGUUAUGACCUGCAGUCUAUCUGGGUCAGUUCAGGUAUAGUUUAUUUUAGUUAUGCUGACUUUUUUGUAGCAUAACUAUGAAAAAGUCAGUACUAUUUGUUUUGUGGAAAUAUGGACUUUAUUUUUUUCCUUUCUAUUGGUAGGUGGCACAGUGCACUUGAGGCAAGUAAGCAAGCUAGAAGACUGGCACUCUUGCUGGAUAUCCAGUUACGGAAGCAACACAUUAACAAGAGAAUUCUGAGUAAAACCAAAGUUACCUUCCUGAGUAACUAGUUACUCUGAAAGUAAUGACUAACUUGAAGUAACUGAGUUACUUUUGAUAGAAGUAACUAGUAAUGUAACUAAGUUACUAAUUUAAAGUAACUUACCCAACACUGCUCACUUCAAAGAUACGGCUCUAAGAGCAUUUUCGUUCACAACUGACACAUCACUACAUGGGGCACACUCACCCUUGACCCACCUGCUUUCCAAGGUAGGUGAUGGUUGCAUGGUGCAUGUGGCACACAACCGACUGUAAGCAACAACAUGUUUUUUUUUUAAAACCAGGCCAAAAGAAGUUGCUCAGCACUCAGUAAUACUUUUUAUUUAUUCCGAGAUGCCAUGCCCAUAUCAUGUGCUAAGCUUAGCACCUGAUUACAAUGAUGGGAUUGUACCACCACCUGCAUGACGUUCAAUGUUCCACUAAUCUGAGGACCACCACCUCGUGAGCAGGCCAUCCUGCAGUAAAAAACGGGGAAUGGUUGCGCUUUGCCCAGAAGCGAAAGUGGCGGCAAAACAGGAACUCAAAGACUUGCCAUUUCUCUGAGUGCUUACCAAAGCUUCUUUACUCACAUCUCCAAUUCCAGCAUUAAUUUUACCACACUUCGUUCCAUUUUCAUACUGUCUCUCUCUUACAAAAGGCUUUUGCCCUGUAGCCACAAACGUAUCCGCGAUACUAAAAUCAGCAAAUUUGCACUCUUGCGCCCAUGUGACAGUUUGACAGCUUAGAGCUCCACAUUAUUGGUGGGAUAAGUUUAUCAGGAUGGCUUCAAAAUCUGCAACCACAAGUGUUUAGAUUUCCAUCGGAUCUCAAGAGGAACAAACGAAUAACUCAGACUUACAAAUGGACUGCAAGUCAGAAAACUAGGGAAUGUGACGACCUCCCUGACUAAGGCCCAUAAACGUCGUGUUCACAUCAUACACACACUUAUAUUUCUACUCUCCCUGGAUGUUUUCCACUCUGUGCUGCUAUUGUAAGUCUUCUUGGUCCUUGUGGGGUGAUCGUGGCUCAAGAGUUGGGAGUUCACCUUGUAAUCAGAGGGUUGCCGGUUCGAGCCUCGGCUUGGACAGUCUUGGUCGUUGUGUCCUUGGGCACUUCACCCGUUGCCUACUGGUGGUGGUCAGAGGGCCCGGUGGCACCAGUGUCUGGCAACUUCGCCUCUGUCAGUGCGCCCCAGGGUGGCUGUGGCUACAAUGUAGCUUGCCAGUAAAGUAAUAGUAGUAGUAGUAAAGCACUAUACAAAUACAGACUAUUUACCAGACCAUUUGUACUCAAUGCAUUUGGUUCAGACGUUAAUAAUAUUAACUCAUACAUCCAGGUAAAGCUAUUGAUAGUGAUGUGACGUUCUGUAUCGAGGCUUCGGAGCGUGUGUCGAGUAAUGGAGGGGGCGUUUCCGCGAUGCGCGUAUCGAGGCUUGCUUCAUUUAUGGGAGGAGCUGAAAAUGAUGACGUCCGAAGCCUCGCUGCCCGGCUGUACCACGUGACUGGUUCAUGAAGUGGUUCGAACUUUGCCGCGAGCUAUGACAGCGAUAUAAACCCCUCAGAUUUCAUUCAAAAUGUGGGUGUUUGAUGGAGAGUUGCGGUUAGUGAGAGUUUGGAGACCGUUUGGAGGUUUAUGAGAGUGAGGAGAGAAAGUCAGGAGAGAAUGGAGCCAGCUAAGAAGAGGAGGAUGUCCUCUCCUGUGUGGGAACAUUUUGAUCUUAUUCCUCCCAACAAGGUGAAGUGUUUGCUAUGUGCCAGGGAGCUGGGAUAUAACAACAACACCUCAUCCAUGCUUACGCACUACAGAGCUUUGCAUGAGAAUAAGGGGAACACCGAUUGUGGAGCAAGACCAGGAGAACAAUCUCAAAUAGAUGAAGACCUGGUCAGCAUGGUGAUUGAGGACUCCCAGCCAUUUAGCAUUGUGGAGGACAAAGGAUUCAAAAGAUUUGUUAAAUCAUUAAAUCCUAGCUAUGUUCUCCCCACUAAAAAGAUGGGAAAAUCAUCAAAGCUGAGCCUGGACAGAACGUCACUCUGCCAUGUCGAACUCCACAUAUCAGCGUUCCCAUCAGAGCUGUGGUGGAGUGGUUCAGACUUGACCUGCAGGAAGGACAUGUCCUUAUGUACCGGGAUGAGCAGUUUAUUUCAAUGAACCAGCUUCCAUCGUUUGUGAACCGGGUGGAUCUGCAGGACAGACAGAUGAAGGACGGAGACGUGUCUUUGAUUCUGAAGGACGUGACAAGUGACGACACUGGAACAUUUCAGUGUUACGUGGUCCAGAGAGGAACAAAUGGCAGGAAAAGCACUGUUGAUCAUAUCAGCACCGUCUACCUGAGAGUUGUAGGGAGCAGCGAUGGACAUCCAACAAUGAAAUGUAGACGUUUAACACAAAUACAAUUGAAUUUUUUAGCGUUUUUCUCUUCUUUACUUAGAAGUAUUGUUAAGGAGAUUUAAAAACAAAGUUAAUUUUCAUUGUCUUCUUCAUUAUUACGUUGCUGUUAAAAGGUAAUAAUGCCAAUGAAGUCCGUAUAGUGCAGCCAGUCCCUUAAACACUGCUGCAAUCCACUUUCACCAAAAUAAGUUUUCUCCUAAGUUUUUUUUUUUCUUUUAUCACUUUUGAUCUUUGAUUAUUUGCUUGCUGAGGUUAAUUCGUGAUUAACAGCUUUGAUUCUGCUGUUUGGAAACGUGUGCUCCAGUUUAGUUUAUUUCCAGCAGUAAUAAAUUUGUUAAAUGUUGGGUCUGUGUUUCCACAUGCCCCGCUAGUUUAGAGACUUAUUCCUCAUGACAAACACAAGACAUAGCAGAACAUCUUCAACCGGUUAUUAACUCGCUAACGAAGGAGAGCUUUGGUCUGAACCAGGCGGUGGAGCAUAAUGCUCAUCACUCUCUAGCCCAAAUCCUUCAAAGAGCAGCUGUCCUCGUAGCCUUUUUAUUGACAUGACAUUUACAGUACACAUGACAACACAACACAAGCACCUCCCAUCGUAAACCCCCCCCCCCCCCCCCCCCUUGGUCCUAAGACAAGGCAUUAUAUGUGUGUGUGUGACAAAUAACUUUGUUGUUUGCAAAACUUGUGCAUAGGAUUUUAAAAUUGACAAUUUAUACUUGUAUUUAAAGUUAUGAAAUAUGAUUCAUUAAACAUGUUUGUGGUUGUUACAGUAAAAAAUAUAACUUUUUUCUACUCUGAUUUUAUGUUUUUUUCUGAUUUUAGAUCUAUUGUGUUAAUACAAUAAAUGUACAAAUGAAA